Molecule: long non-coding RNA, 1252 nt
Organism: Alligator mississippiensis (American alligator)
Lineage: Eukaryota; Metazoa; Chordata; Crocodylia; Alligatoridae
Exons: 3
Source: RefSeq, a predicted model, not a curated record
UCUCUAAGGAGAAACCUAAGAUCAUCAUCAGAGUAAAUUGACAGUCUGAUCAGCUGUCAAUAGCUUCCCGUCAGCGUAAAUAUUGACGUAUCAAAGCCCUGCAGGCACGAUAGCUCGUUCCCGGUGCCACAUCCGUCAUCGUUAGCUGUAACCCGAAACUGUACGCUUGAUCGUAAUCGUUGUAUCAUUAGCUGCAACCUGAAACCAUACGCUUGAUUAUAAUCGCUAUAACUGGAAAAACUGCAAUGGAACAAAGGCUCAGCCUGCGUCACGCGUCACUAUCUGAGCGACGUGCUCUAGAAGAAUUGAAUUCUUCCCAAGUUCUCGGCAUUCAAGCCUAUAUCCAGCAAAGCAGCUCAGCAGAUACUUAGCUCCUUCUUAUCCAGCCUCAUCUGAACACCUACAAGCAUCUGUAACCAUCAACAUUAACAGCUGUUCCAGCUCCUCUGCUGUCUUCCCAAGACUUUAAGAAACAUUCUAUGGCUCUACUUACAGGCUUCAAGUUAGAAUCAGCUGUCAGAUGAAAGAGAUUUGUGCCCUCUAUAAAAUAAAUAGUGUCACAACCAAAUUAAGUAGUGCCCAUGUCACAAACAAGUAAAACCAUUCAAAACAGUUUUUUUCUGCACUAGGUUAACUAAGGGUUAACAAUAAUGAUAGUAACCGCUUUUUUUUGCUGCGCAUGUCAAAAAGAAAUUUAUUACUGCGACACUAACAUGAAAUAGAACUUAGCCUUCUGUGCUGUACAUAAAUCAUUAUAAUUGGUCAAAGAAAACAGGGAGUAACCCUGUGAGAUAGAACCCUAGCGAAGACCGCUAGAUAAUUGGCGAUUCUAAUUAAAUUUAUGAUGUGGCGAAAAGCAAUUGGCUAUUACUAAAAUAAAACCUGUCUUCACUUCCGUGAAGAACGGGAGACCUCCGCGCACACACCUGAAAAACUUCUGAACGUAUGUGUGAGAGUAACUGACAAAUUGAUCACUUGUCAGUUUCCCAUGUCUGGACCCAAUUCUCAGACAUAAAUCAAUGACCUGCCGGCCCGACCUUUUUCUCCAUUUAUCUGCCCGACCAACGAACUCUUAUGCAGACCGACCUAUGACCUACGAACCUUAAGCUGUAACUAACCAAGUAUCUCUGACCUCCGCUAUUCACCACCUUGACGGCGUGAGUAAAUAAUCUUGCUUUGCAACCGAUAAGUGUCCGCCUUAUUAAUUCCACUCCAAGCAUCACAAGUACCUGCCUGAUGGCCUUCUAAGGCG